UGAGACCCGGCAAGCUCGUCGCACCCCGCGCACCGACACCGAAGCGGCGAGAGGAGAGCCAGCACCUGCGGGAGCGUGACGUUUGCUCCGUCGCUGGGUGUAUUUUGAAGCUGAACAGCCUGGGAAAUGGGCGUGCUGUUUGUACAGUGGCUCCGAAAGCAAACAGGGACCUGAUUCCACGCCUCGGCCUGCCGCCGGCGGCCGUUUUCCCAAGGAUGCGCGGAAACGGGCCGCGGGAAGAUGCACCGACGCUGCCGCGGGGAACGCCGGGCCCCUCCGCCGGCCCGGCCCUCGUGGGAAGCCACCGUCAUCCCGGCCUGGCCGGAAAGAGCGGGUUCGAAAAAGCGUUAUUUGCUUAAUCGGAGCAGCGGGAGGCCUGGAAGAGCUGUUUUGGGGCCGGGAGCAGGGAUUUGGGGCAAGCAAAGCCCUGCGGUGCGGCAGGGCUCCUCGCCAGCACGGUGCUCCCCGCCCGCGCCGCUGCCUCGCUGGGUGCUUCGGCUCAGGGAAGGGGCGAAGCGGGCGGAGGGCACCCAGCACUCCUGCGGUUUUUUUCUGCAUACCGGUUUCGGACAGGCUGGGAAAGGCCCCAUCCACCCCCCCCCACCCGGCACGGGCUUCCCGAAAUGCCACUGGGGUUUUGCAGGGCUGCUCCGGAGCCCAGGGCAGAGAGGUGCUCUCGCUGCAGGACACGGAUUUUAUUGCCCCUUUUUUUCUGGGUCGUUUUGCAGAUCUGAUUUAUGGUGCAGCCUCUCGUGCAGCUCGGGACAGGCUGCUGCCCCGGGGCCAGAACCAGCACCGGGGACGGGGAAGGGUGGAAAACCUGCCUUUGCCUCCCGGCAUCAUUCCCGGCGAGGCCGGUGCGGCAGCGGAGGCUGCUCCGCGUGCACCGUGCUGCAAGGAGCAGGCGGCCGCGGCUGCCUUAGGGAUCGCAGCGACGUGCGUGGAUGAAACCUGGCCCAAACCCUCCGGGGCAGCCGAAUCGGGGAGGAUGCUGGCGCACGGAGCGGGAUGAUGCUUCCCUGCCACCUCCCAAGGCCAAGGACGAGGGGUGCUCGCAGCGUGCGGCUGCCUGCAGAGCUCGGCGGGUCCCCGCAGGCGCCUUCCCCCGAGCCGCUUUCCCCCUGGGCUGCACGAACUGCGCGCGGCCACGGAGGCUGCAGAGCCCGGCCCCAGGGCUGCGCACGCCACGGGCACCUCUCCUUUUGUUUUUUGCUCUUUUACUCGCUCUUUGCCCCUUGCUCAGGCAGUUUUGGUAGCGUGCAUCCGGGCGGGUGCAGGUGCUAAGGCUGAUGCAAUGCAGCUGGCUGCGGGACGCCCAGGAGGUGCCGAUUUUCAGGGAAACGCCAAGAGGUGAGAAUGCCCUCGGCCCCUCGGAGAAGGCUCGGUACCUGCUGCUUUUAAAAGCUCGAUGGGCUCCCAGCUCUCCCCCUGCACCCGCGUCGGUGCCCUGUGGGCACGUUUCUCUCCUGGAGCCAUAGACCACAUUGGAUGAUUUGCAAAAUUCAGGCGUGGGUGCAAAACCGAGGAGGGCUGCUGCUUCCCUUCCCGGCUGCUUCCCAGGACCACGUCAGCCCUCAGCAGCCGAAUCCCGCUCUCCCUGCAUUGCAAGAGCUCCGAAACAGAUGAAGUCCUAUCAGACGGCUCCUUACCUUGCGGAAUAUAGAUGCAGUCCCCGACCGGUGCUAAAUCACCAUCUCGCCACAGAUGGCUAGACAGAGAAAUUUUAAAGAAUAAGCUUAAUUUUAUCCCCGGCUUCCGAGCGGCCGUGGCGCGGCAGCGUUGGACCGGCGGGAGGUUGCUGCUCGGUGACGGCGCAUUGCCGGGCCCCAGCGCUUUGGUGUGCUGGGACGGGGCGUCCUCGGAGCAGCGGCUCAUCCCAAGGGGAAUGCCUUCCCGCGGGAGCCGUGCCGGAGCCGGUCCUGCUGGGGAGCGGGCUGAGAGAUGGGCCGAGCACGGUAAGUGGGAAAAAUAAUAUGAAACCCUGGAAAUUUUGGCUUUUCCAUGCAGAGGUUCAGCAGAAGUGCAUCUUCCAGCGAUGCAUGGGAUUUCUUUGUUUGGGGGCAUGUUACUAUUUUUUUUAGUGUUGUCUUGGGGUCCAGCAGUCGUUUCGACUGGCCUGAAACACCUCUUGCUGUCGUCUUCCCGCCGCUUAACCAGAAAAGCCACCCAAAAUUAGUUUUGGGUGAGCCUCUUCUUUUCGGUUCCUUAGCUGAGACAGAUGCAUUUCAUCUGUCUGAAACGGAAACAUUUCAGUAUGCUUGGGUUUUUUUCCAUAUACUUCCAUAUACUUCCAUAUUUCCAUAUACUGUCUGCAUUUAAACAUAUUUCAAAAUCAGAAAAGCGCCAUCCUACUUAAAAAUGCGAAAAAUAGGAUUUUUCAGCUUUCCAAACCCCUUUCUUGCCCCGAAGCUGUUUGCUGCAUUCGCAAGCAGUUUCCGUCGAGCGGAGCCACGUGCCGGUGGCGAAAAUGGGGGCAGAACUGGAGGAAAAGGGGGGAAGCAGGAGCCUGAUGAGGAGAAGCUGCCGGAGGUGGAGAGCAGCACUGAUAUUUGGGGUAAAAUGGAAAUAUCAGCCAUGAGAUUGCUCGUCGUUGGUCAUCCCCAACCGCCUCACGCGGUCAGAAAAACAGGCAUUAAGCCGCGCUUUGCAGGCUGGCUCGGGCACCGAAGCAUCGCGCUCGGCGGGAAGCGCUGGCGUUUACCUGCUGAUGGUCAACCACAAGGAAAAAAAAAAAAAAGAAAAAGGGAAACAAACAAACCAAAAAAACCCCUGAAUGAUAGGGGAACAUAAAUUAUCGAGAACUGGCAAGAAAUGAAAGUGUUGCAUGGUCCCCUGACAGCAAUGGGAUGAAUAACUGAUGAUGAUUAGUUAAAUCAUAACAUUGCUCAUGCCAUGCAUAAAUGAUGAGCCAACUGCUCGCGAUGCCCUGAUGAGAUGCAGCAUUCUUCGCUUUCUAUCAUUCCCACUUUGUAGCCCCAAAGAAACUACCACAUUUCUGCAUUUUUGUGUUAUCUGGCACAUCAAGCAAUGCGACAAUGAAUAUAUAUUGACCUUAUUAUAGCAGCCGGCUGCUUGUGCCAGAAGCAACCAGGCAUACUUUGCACAAAUUAAAGCUGUCAGCAUGUAAUUUAUGGUUCAUUGCAAAAGAGGAGCAGAACUCUGAGGGGAACAUUGUGGUUUGGGAAGCAGGCAGGUAGGCAGAUGAAUUGCAUGAUAAAAUAUCUUGCUAAUGAUGUGAUGUUAAAGCUGAAGUGUCAUUUUCAUUCUGUUUUGCACAUUUUUUUAGUUAUUUCUUGCUCAAGAUGAUUUUUCCCCCCUCCGCAGUUCUUUUUUUCCUUUUUCUUUCCACAAGCUAAAUUACUGGUUAUACCUGAAAAGGAUGAAGUAGGUGUGAUAAUUUAUGAGUAGACGGCGGCUGUCGGAAGCCGGCGCGGUGGCGUCGAGCGAUGCGGGAGCCGUCGCAGCAGUGCAGCCAGCAGGCUCGACAUCUGGGGUGUGCGCCUGUGAUUAAAGUUCUGCUCCCUUCUCCGAGGAGAGAAUAGACUCGGGGAAAAAUAAAAUAAAGAAAUCCA
Long non-coding RNA from Dromaius novaehollandiae (emu), 3572 nucleotides. RefSeq lists it as uncharacterized. NCBI's taxonomy places the organism in Eukaryota, Metazoa, Chordata, Aves, Casuariiformes, Dromaiidae. The transcript is spliced from 2 exons. The record is from RefSeq and is a predicted model, not a curated record.